RNAcentral lists this ribosomal RNA (2904 nucleotides) under Escherichia coli. RNAcentral's name for it is "23S ribosomal RNA". It matches the Rfam family "Bacterial large subunit ribosomal RNA". The record is from RNAcentral. Lineage: Bacteria; Pseudomonadati; Pseudomonadota; Gammaproteobacteria; Enterobacterales; Enterobacteriaceae.
GGUUAAGCGACUAAGCGUACACGGUGGAUGCCCUGGCAGUCAGAGGCGAUGAAGGACGUGCUAAUCUGCGAUAAGCGUCGGUAAGGUGAUAUGAACCGUUAUAACCGGCGAUUUCCGAAUGGGGAAACCCAGUGUGAUUCGUCACACUAUCAUUAACUGAAUCCAUAGGUUAAUGAGGCGAACCGGGGGAACUGAAACAUCUAAGUACCCCGAGGAAAAGAAAUCAACCGAGAUUCCCCCAGUAGCGGCGAGCGAACGGGGAGGAGCCCAGAGCCUGAAUCAGUGUGUGUGUUAGUGGAAGCGUCUGGAAAGGCGCGCGAUACAGGGUGACAGCCCCGUACACAAAAAUGCACAUGCUGUGAGCUCGAUGAGUAGGGCGGGACACGUGGUAUCCUGUCUGAAUAUGGGGGGACCAUCCUCCAAGGCUAAAUACUCCUGACUGACCGAUAGUGAACCAGUACCGUGAGGGAAAGGCGAAAAGAACCCCGGCGAGGGGAGUGAAAAAGAACCUGAAACCGUGUACGUACAAGCAGUGGGAGCACGCUUAGGCGUGUGACUGCGUACCUUUUGUAUAAUGGGUCAGCGACUUAUAUUCUGUAGCAAGGUUAACCGAAUAGGGGAGCCGAAGGGAAACCGAGUCUUAACUGGGCGUUAAGUUGCAGGGUAUAGACCCGAAACCCGGUGAUCUAGCCAUGGGCAGGUUGAAGGUUGGGUAACACUAACUGGAGGACCGAACCGACUAAUGUUGAAAAAUUAGCGGAUGACUUGUGGCUGGGGGUGAAAGGCCAAUCAAACCGGGAGAUAGCUGGUUCUCCCCGAAAGCUAUUUAGGUAGCGCCUCGUGAACUCAUCUCCGGGGGUAGAGCACUGUUUCGGCAAGGGGGUCAUCCCGACUUACCAACCCGAUGCAAACUGCGAAUACCGGAGAAUGUUAUCACGGGAGACACACGGCGGGUGCUAACGUCCGUCGUGAAGAGGGAAACAACCCAGACCGCCAGCUAAGGUCCCAAAGUCAUGGUUAAGUGGGAAACGAUGUGGGAAGGCCCAGACAGCCAGGAUGUUGGCUUAGAAGCAGCCAUCAUUUAAAGAAAGCGUAAUAGCUCACUGGUCGAGUCGGCCUGCGCGGAAGAUGUAACGGGGCUAAACCAUGCACCGAAGCUGCGGCAGCGACGCUUAUGCGUUGUUGGGUAGGGGAGCGUUCUGUAAGCCUGUGAAGGUGUGCUGUGAGGCAUGCUGGAGGUAUCAGAAGUGCGAAUGCUGACAUAAGUAACGAUAAAGCGGGUGAAAAGCCCGCUCGCCGGAAGACCAAGGGUUCCUGUCCAACGUUAAUCGGGGCAGGGUGAGUCGACCCCUAAGGCGAGGCCGAAAGGCGUAGUCGAUGGGAAACAGGUUAAUAUUCCUGUACUUGGUGUUACUGCGAAGGGGGGACGGAGAAGGCUAUGUUGGCCGGGCGACGGUUGUCCCGGUUUAAGCGUGUAGGCUGGUUUUCCAGGCAAAUCCGGAAAAUCAAGGCUGAGGCGUGAUGACGAGGCACUACGGUGCUGAAGCAACAAAUGCCCUGCUUCCAGGAAAAGCCUCUAAGCAUCAGGUAACAUCAAAUCGUACCCCAAACCGACACAGGUGGUCAGGUAGAGAAUACCAAGGCGCUUGAGAGAACUCGGGUGAAGGAACUAGGCAAAAUGGUGCCGUAACUUCGGGAGAAGGCACGCUGAUAUGUAGGUGAAGCGACUUGCUCGUGGAGCUGAAAUCAGUCGAAGAUACCAGCUGGCUGCAACUGUUUAUUAAAAACACAGCACUGUGCAAACACGAAAGUGGACGUAUACGGUGUGACGCCUGCCCGGUGCCGGAAGGUUAAUUGAUGGGGUCAGCGCAAGCGAAGCUCUUGAUCGAAGCCCCGGUAAACGGCGGCCGUAACUAUAACGGUCCUAAGGUAGCGAAAUUCCUUGUCGGGUAAGUUCCGACCUGCACGAAUGGCGUAAUGAUGGCCAGGCUGUCUCCACCCGAGACUCAGUGAAAUUGAACUCGCUGUGAAGAUGCAGUGUACCCGCGGCAAGACGGAAAGACCCCGUGAACCUUUACUAUAGCUUGACACUGAACAUUGAGCCUUGAUGUGUAGGAUAGGUGGGAGGCUUGGAAGUGUGGACGCCAGUCUGCAUGGAGCCGACCUUGAAAUACCACCCUUUAAUGUUUGAUGUUCUAACGUUGACCCGUAAUCCGGGUUGCGGACAGUGUCUGGUGGGUAGUUUGACUGGGGCGGUCUCCUCCUAAAGAGUAACGGAGGAGCACGAAGGUUGGCUAAUCCUGGUCGGACAUCAGGAGGUUAGUGCAAUGGCAUAAGCCAGCUUGACUGCGAGCGUGACGGCGCGAGCAGGUGCGAAAGCAGGUCAUAGUGAUCCGGUGGUUCUGAAUGGAAGGGCCAUCGCUCAACGGAUAAAAGGUACUCCGGGGAUAACAGGCUGAUACCGCCCAAGAGUUCAUAUCGACGGCGGUGUUUGGCACCUCGAUGUCGGCUCAUCACAUCCUGGGGCUGAAGUAGGUCCCAAGGGUAUGGCUGUUCGCCAUUUAAAGUGGUACGCGAGCUGGGUUUAGAACGUCGUGAGACAGUUCGGUCCCUAUCUGCCGUGGGCGCUGGAGAACUGAGGGGGGCUGCUCCUAGUACGAGAGGACCGGAGUGGACGCAUCACUGGUGUUCGGGUUGUCAUGCCAAUGGCACUGCCCGGUAGCUAAAUGCGGAAGAGAUAAGUGCUGAAAGCAUCUAAGCACGAAACUUGCCCCGAGAUGAGUUCUCCCUGACCCUUUAAGGGUCCUGAAGGAACGUUGAAGACGACGACGUUGAUAGGCCGGGUGUGUAAGCGCAGCGAUGCGUUGAGCUAACCGGUACUAAUGAACCGUGAGGCUUAACCUU